UACGAAUGGUGCAAGCGUUAUCCGGAUUCAUUGGGCUUAAAGGGUGCGUAGGCGGUGCGUUAAGUCAGUGGUGAAAUCCUGCAGCUCAACUGUAGACUUGCCAUUGAUACUGGCGCUCUUGAGUGCGCUUGAAGUAGGCGGAAUGUGCCGUGUAGCGGUGAAAUGCUUAGAUAUGGCACAGAACGCCAAAUGCGAAGGCAGCUUACUAAGGCGAUACUGACGCUGAGGCACGAAAGCGUGGGGAGCGAACAGG
Molecule: ribosomal RNA, 253 nt
Filed under: uncultured bacterium
Lineage: Bacteria
Description: partial 16S ribosomal RNA
Rfam family: Bacterial small subunit ribosomal RNA
Source: RNAcentral